GAUGAACGCUGGCGGCGUGCCUAAUACAUGCAAGUCGAGCGAACGGACGAGAAGCUUGCUUCUCUGAUGUUAGCGGCGGACGGGUGAGUAACACGUGGAUAACCUACCUAUAAGACUGGGAUAACUUCGGGAAACCGGAGCUAAUACCGGAUAAUAUUUUGAACCGCAUGGUUCAAAAGUGAAAGACGGUCUUGCUGUCACUUAUAGAUGGAUCCGCGCUGCAUUAGCUAGUUGGUAAGGUAACGGCUUACCAAGGCAACGAUGCAUAGCCGACCUGAGAGAGUGAUCGGCCACACUGGAACGGAGACACGGUCCAGACUCCUACGGGAGGCAGCAGUAGGGAAUCUUCCGCAAAGGGCGAAAGCCUGACGGAGCAACGCCGCGUGAGUGAUGAAGGUCUUCGGAUCGUAAAACUCUGUUAUUAGGGAAGAACAUAUGUGUAAGUAACUGUGCACAGCUUGACGGUACCUAAUCAGAAAGCCACGGCUAACUACGUG
This 497-nucleotide ribosomal RNA is filed under the name uncultured bacterium. RNAcentral's name for it is "partial 16S ribosomal RNA". It matches the Rfam family "Bacterial small subunit ribosomal RNA", at positions 28 to 507 of the family's 1533-position model. The record is from RNAcentral.